RNAcentral lists this ribosomal RNA (460 nucleotides) under uncultured bacterium. RNAcentral describes it as "partial 16S ribosomal RNA". It matches the Rfam family "Bacterial small subunit ribosomal RNA", at positions 338 to 795 of the family's 1533-position model. The record is from RNAcentral.
CCUACGGGAGGCAGCAGUGAGGAAUAUUGGUCAAUGGGCUGACGCCUGAACCAGCCAAGUCGCGUGAGGGAAGACUGUCCUAUGGUUUGUAAACCUCGUUUGUCAGGGAGCAACGCCGGCUACGUGUAGCCGGACUGAGAGUACCUGAAGAAAAAGCAUCGGCUAACUCCGUGCCAGCAGCGGCGGUAAUACGGAGGAUGCGACCGUUAUCGGGAUUUAUUGGGUUAAAAGGUUGCGUAGGCGGAAUGCUUAGUCAGCGGUAAAAUCGCGGGGCUCAACCCCGCUCCGCAGUUGAAACUGGCAUUCUUGAGUGGGCGAGAGGUAUGCGGAAUGCGAGGUGUAGCGGUGAAAUGCAUAGAUAUAGCGCAGAACUCCGAUUGCGAAGGCAGCAUACCGGCGCCCAACUGACGCUGAGGCACGAAAGCGUGGGUAUCGAACAGGAUUAGAUACCCCUGUAGUC